Molecule: ribosomal RNA, 357 nt
Filed under: Cephalops aeneus
Lineage: Eukaryota; Metazoa; Arthropoda; Insecta; Diptera; Pipunculidae
Description: partial 12S ribosomal RNA
Source: RNAcentral
AAAAAUUUAAAUAGAUAUAUUUGAGUAGUAAUAGUUAUGUUCUUGAAAUUUAAAAAAUUUGGCGGUAUUUUAGUCUAUUCAGAGGAACCUGUUUUUUAAUCGAUAGUCCACGUUGUACCUUACUUAAGUUUGUUUUUAUAGUUUAUAUAUCGUUGUUUAUAGAAUAUUUUAUUAAAAUAAUAAUUUUCAAAAUUUUACAUAUAAAAUUAUAUCAGAUCAAGAUGUAGCAUAUAUUUAAGUUUAUAAUGGGUUACAUUUAUUUUAAUUAUUGGAAUUUAAUUUGAAAUUAAUUAGAAGAAAUUGGAUUUGAAAGUAAAUUUAUAAAGAUAGAUAAAUUGAUUUUAGCUCUAAAAUAUG